UACGUAGGGGGCUAGCGUUGUCCGGAUUCACUGGGCGUAAAGGGUGCGCAGGCGGCCGAGUGUGUGAGGCGUGAAAGCCCGGGGCUUAACCCCGGAAUUGCACCUCAAACUACACGGCUAGAGCAUUGGAGAGGGUAGCAGAAUUCAUGGUGUAGCAGUGAAAUGCGUAGAUAUCAUGAGGAAUACCAGAGGCGAAGGCGGCUACCUGGAAAAUUGCUGACGCUCAGGCACGAAAGCGUGGGGAGCAAAAGGG
Molecule: ribosomal RNA, 253 nt
Filed under: uncultured bacterium
Lineage: Bacteria
Description: partial 16S ribosomal RNA
Rfam family: Bacterial small subunit ribosomal RNA
Source: RNAcentral